GACGAACGCUGGCGGCGUGCCUAAUACAUGUAAGUAGAACGCACAGUUUAUACCGUAGCUUGCUACACCAUAGACUGUGAGUUGCGAACGGGUGAGUAACGCGUAGGUAACCUGCCUGGUAGCGGGGGAUAACUAUUGGAAACGAUAGCUAAUACCGCAUAAUAUUAAUUAUUGCAUGAUAAUUAAUUGAAAGGUGCAAUUGCACCACUACCAGAUGGACCUGCGUUGUAUUAGCUAGUAGGUGAGGUAACGGCUCACCUAGGCGACGAUACAUAGCCGACCUGAGAGGGUGAUCGGCCACACUGGGACUGAGACACGGCCCAGACUCCUACGGGAGGCAGCAGUAGGGAAUCUUCGGCAAUGGACGAAAGUCUGACCGAGCAACGCCGCGUGAGUGAAGAAGGUUUUCGGAUCGUAAAGCUCUGUUGUAAGAGAAGAACGGGUGUGAGAGUGGAAAGUUCACACUGUGACGGUAUCUUACCAGAAAGGGACGGCUAACUACGUG
This 505-nucleotide ribosomal RNA is filed under the name uncultured bacterium. RNAcentral's name for it is "partial 16S ribosomal RNA". It matches the Rfam family "Bacterial small subunit ribosomal RNA", at positions 28 to 507 of the family's 1533-position model. The record is from RNAcentral.